UGAAAAUGAUAGAGGAACAAUGAAGAUGACUGAGUUCAACAUGUGGGUUUACCUGUUUACCUUACAUUGGGAAGGGGGGAUCUGUGCUGGAGUUCACCUGCUGGCUCCAGGCUAAGCUAUUGCAGCACGAGGACACAGGUGCUGUAAGGUCAUUAUGCUCUGCUGUUGGCUCUCAGAUGACACUGCUUCAGAAAAACGGGAUGUAAAGCAUGUGGUCCCACAUAGAUGGACAGGCGGAGGGCAGAGCUGCUCUGGUAGCUCAUGACGUGGUUCACUGACACCAUCUCCAGGUCCAGCACGUACUCCUUGGGUCCAGUCACGGCUCGGGCCAGCACCAGCAUGGCGCUGAUGUUAUUGAUUUGCUGUGGUGAGGACAAGGGAGAUCAAAGACACAGAUAAACAUCAGUUGAGUCUGUGAAGUGUCACCUUUGCUUCACCUGUCUGCUGAUCCACACGACUUCCAUCUAAAUGUGAAACAGGUCCUUAGGACAAGAGACGCCUUUAAUCUCUCAACCUCAUAACCAAGUGUCAGUGCUGUGUCAUACGUAGCCUCCACACAUGUAUAAGGAAAACAUGGAAUUCAUAUAUAAAUAUGUAUAAGAAAUGAAGAUGUGCAUGCUCCAAUUGUUCUAUCAAUAUAGAAGUAGUGAAUUAUUCAGAAGUUACAGAGCAGUCAAAUCUGAGACUGUGACCCACACAUGACUCACUCAUGAUCAGGUCACCCAUCUUUAGACAUCCAUCACACAUUAUGCUAUAGGCCUACUGGCUAGAAAUGUCUGAAGAAAACUCUGAUU
This is a long non-coding RNA of Alosa sapidissima (American shad), 794 nucleotides long. RefSeq lists it as uncharacterized. The transcript is spliced from 3 exons. The record is from RefSeq and is a predicted model, not a curated record. NCBI's taxonomy places the organism in Eukaryota, Metazoa, Chordata, Actinopteri, Clupeiformes, Clupeidae.